GAUGAACGCUGGCGGCGUGCCUAAUACAUGCAAGUCGAGCGAACGGACGAGAAGCUUGCUUCUCUGAUGUUAGCGGCGGACGGGUGAGUAACACGUGGAUAACCUACCUAUAAGACUGGGAUAACUUCGGGAAACCGGAGCUAAUACCGUAUGAUAUUUUGAACCGCAUGGUUCAAAAGUGAAAGACGGUCUUGCUGUCACUUAUAGAUGGAUCCGCGCUGCAUUAGCUAGUUGGUAAGGUAACGGCUUACCAAGGCAACGAUGCAUAGCCGACCUGAGAGGGUGAUCGGCCACACUGGAACUGAGACACGGUCCAGACUCCUACGGGAGGCAGCAGUAGGGAAUCUUCCGCAAUGGGCGAAAGCCUGACGGAGCAACGCCGCGUGAGUGAUGAAGGUCUUCGGAUCGUAAAACUCUGUUAUUAGGGAAGAACAUAUGUGUAAGUAACUGUGCACAUCUUGACGGUACCUAAUCAGAAAUCCACGGCUAACUACGUG
RNAcentral lists this ribosomal RNA (497 nucleotides) under uncultured bacterium. RNAcentral describes it as "partial 16S ribosomal RNA". It matches the Rfam family "Bacterial small subunit ribosomal RNA", at positions 28 to 507 of the family's 1533-position model. The record is from RNAcentral.